This 434-nucleotide ribosomal RNA is filed under the name uncultured bacterium. Its description in RNAcentral is "partial 16S ribosomal RNA". It matches the Rfam family "Bacterial small subunit ribosomal RNA", at positions 29 to 507 of the family's 1533-position model. The record is from RNAcentral.
AGCGAACGCUGGCGGCAGGCCUAACACAUGCAAGUCGAACGAACCUUUCGGGGUUAGUGGCGGACGGGUGAGUAACACGUGGGAACGUGCCUUUAGGUUCGGAAUAACUCAGGGAAACUUGUGCUAAUACCGAAUGUGCCCUUCGGGGGAAAGAUUAAUCGCCUUUAGAGCGGCCCGCGUCUGAUUAGCUAGUUGGUUGAGGUAAUGGCUCACCAAGGCGACGAUCAGUAGCUGGUCUGAGAGGAUGAUCAGCCACAUUGGGACUGAGACACGGCCCAAACUCCUACGGGAGGGCGGAGGGGGGAAUCUUGCGCAAUGGGCGAAAGGCUGACGGAGCCAUGGCGGGUGAAUGAUGAAGGUCUUAGGAUUGUAAAAUUCUUUUACCGGGGACGAUAAUGACGGUACCCGGAGAAGAAGCCCCGGCUAACUUCGUG